This 704-nucleotide ribosomal RNA is filed under the name Klebsiella pneumoniae. RNAcentral's name for it is "partial 23S ribosomal RNA". It matches the Rfam family "Bacterial large subunit ribosomal RNA", at positions 2227 to 2925 of the family's 2925-position model. Lineage: Bacteria; Pseudomonadati; Pseudomonadota; Gammaproteobacteria; Enterobacterales; Enterobacteriaceae. The record is from RNAcentral.
GUUGGCCCCUGACCGGGGUUGCGGACAGUGUCUGGUGGGUAGUUUGACUGGGGCGGUCUCCUCCCAAAGCGUAACGGAGGAGCACGAAGGUUAGCUAAUCCUGGUCGGACAUCAGGAGGUUAGUGCAAUGGCAUAAGCUAGCUUGACUGCGAGCGUGACGGCGCGAGCAGGUGCGAAAGCAGGUCAUAGUGAUCCGGUGGUUCUGAAUGGAAGGGCCAUCGCUCAACGGAUAAAAGGUACUCCGGGGAUAACAGGCUGAUACCGCCCAAGAGUUCAUAUCGACGGCGGUGUUUGGCACCUCGAUGUCGGCUCAUCACAUCCUGGGGCUGAAGUAGGUCCCAAGGGUAUGGCUGUUCGCCAUUUAAAGUGGUACGCGAGCUGGGUUUAGAACGUCGUGAGACAGUUCGGUCCCUAUCUGCCGUGGGCGCUGGAGAAUUGAGGGGGGCUGCUCCUAGUACGAGAGGACCGGAGUGGACGCAUCACUGGUGUUCGGGUUGUCAUGCCAAUGGCACUGCCCGGUAGCUAAAUGCGGAAGAGAUAAGUGCUGAAAGCAUCUAAGCACGAAACUUGCCCCGAGAUGAGUUCUCCCUGAGACUUUAAGUCUCCUGAAGGAACGUUGAAGACGACGACGUUGAUAGGCCGGGUGUGUAAGCGCAGCGAUGCGUUGAGCUAACCGGUACUAAUGAACCGUGAGGCUUAACCUU